This 506-nucleotide ribosomal RNA is filed under the name uncultured Glomus. RNAcentral's name for it is "SSU rRNA". It matches the Rfam family "Eukaryotic small subunit ribosomal RNA", at positions 569 to 1077 of the family's 1831-position model. The record is from RNAcentral. Lineage: Eukaryota; Fungi; Glomeromycota; Glomeromycetes; Glomerales; Glomeraceae.
AGCAGCCGCGGUAAUUCCAGCUCCAAUAGCGUAUAUUAAAGUUGUUGCAGUUAAAAAGCUCGUAGUUGAAUUUCGGGAUCAAAGGAUCGGUCAUGCCUUGGUAUGUACUGGUUUUAUUGGUUCUCACCUUCUAAAGAACCAUAAUGUCAUUCAUUUGAUGUUAUGGGGAAUUAGGACUGUUACCUUGAAAAAAUUAGAGUGUUUAAAGCAGGCUUACGCUUGAAUACAUUAGCAUGGAAUAAUGAAAUAGGACAUCAGAUUCUAUUUUGUUGGUUUCUAGGAUCGAUGUAAUGAUUAAUAGGGAUAGUUGGGGGCAUUAGUAUUCAAUUGUCAGAGGUGAAAUUCUUGGAUUUAUUGAAGACUAACUACUGCGAAAGCAUUUGCCAAGGAUGUUUUCAUUAAUCAAGAACGAAAGUUAGGGGAUCGAAGACGAUCAGAUACCGUCGUAGUCUUAACCAUAAACUAUGCCGACUAGGGAUCGGAUGAUGUUAAUUUUAUAAUGACUC